Long non-coding RNA from Trifolium pratense (red clover), 1752 nucleotides. RefSeq lists it as uncharacterized. The record is from RefSeq and is a predicted model, not a curated record. The transcript is spliced from 5 exons. Lineage: Eukaryota; Viridiplantae; Streptophyta; Magnoliopsida; Fabales; Fabaceae.
UCCUUUGUUCAAUUUCUACUCUUCUCUCCUUUGUACCUUAGUUCAAUCUCACUCAAACCCAACGACCUUCUUCAAACUGUUCUCACUCACCGUUCUUCACUUCGUUCUCACUCACCCAUAAACUCAUUAAAACCCUAAACCCCAUUAAAUCUCAAUCGAUUGAACCCAGAAUCCCAUUUAAACCCUAAAUUAAAAAUCAAUCGAACCUAGAGAACUCGCUGAAACCGUAAAACCAUCUUUCCCCAUCGUUCAUCAUUGUCCAUCGUUUCAAACUCGUUUACCCAGAAAUUCAUGGUUCCGCCAUCGUUCAUCGCAGUUGAACCUCCAUCUUGUCAUAAGUGGUUAGGAUGCUGAAGGAAAUGAAAUAUCACGUCCAGUAAUUAACUGGCAGGAGCACAUAUCAGGUUGGGAAGACAUGUUUUCACUUGGGGGAGGAUACUUGCAUUUGAAGCUGCAAGUUGCAUUUAGUGAUGAAGAGUGACAGAAUUCUUAUGAUGUACUACUUAUAUUUCUAAAAUCUCAACAUUCUUAAACAUAGAAAAUUAAUGGCCUUGGUAAGUUUUUGUGAUUAUGCUGAUAUAUGUUGGAUAAUUGAAAUAUUAUAGGAUACUUUGAUAGGAUUAGUCAAAUUUCUAUAUAAUAGAAGGAAGAAUGAUCUUCUUAAUACAAGUCAAAGAUGUGAAGAAAGUGACAGUAGAUGUUUAUAGAUGCGGUCAUUAUGUUAAUCUGCUUCUGGUGCGGUUGUCCCUGCUUCAGACUGUGGCGUGUUUGCUUUUUGUAGGAGUGGUUUCUAGAUGUGGUGUUGUUGAGUUGGUUUUAUUGAAUUGUUUCUUUGAGAUGGAAUCAGAAUAUUCUUUGAAUCGGUUCAUUUGAAAUAGUAUGUUUGGUGGUAUUUUCCUACAUAAAUGUUUGGUGGUGUUAACUCUGCACAAUUUCAGUCUUUCUAACUCAGAUUCUCUGUUCAUAAUCUGAAGCUCUUUCGAACUCUGCUGAUUAAAGAUCAAAAUUCUAUCCUAUAUGGUUUUUUUUUUCUUCCGGUUUUUACUUUCAAAAUGAUUUUUUUUGUUCUUUUCUGGUUUAGUCAUGUACCCUUUUGGAUGAAUUAACAUGGGUGUGUGUUGGAUUUUGAGUUACAGGGUGCGUGUGGAUCUCUCGUGUUGGAUAAUUCAGCUUUAAAAUGCGAUGUCUCAUUUGUAUACUUUGUAUCUAUCACAAACACAGAUACAAAACCUCAAUUUAGUAUAAGAAUAGCUAUGAAAAUUGUCUAACCUUUUUCUACUUUAUUAUUGUAUAUAUAAAGAAUGUUUAUAAAAUAUUAUAGCCAUAGUUUUCUAAAAGAGGUCUUGUAUUGCAUAAUAUAGGUCACAACAAAGGAUGGAGGUUUUCAGUGGUAGUGAUAUAGCUCAAAUUUCUUGUAGUGAGGGUAUGUUGCGGCAUCAUUUGAAAUUUUGAGUGCCUUGAAUCUUGUGAAAGAAGAGGCCAAUGGAAGGUAGCAGCACAGUCCCAAGAACUUAUUCAAACCAUACAACAUUAUUACAACAAUACAUAUUUGGAUGGUACUAAAGCAAUUAAUAUGUCAACAUAUUACUUGUGGAAGUUCUAUUUGUCAUUGCAGCAAUGGAGUUCAUUUAUGGCUUUGGUCUCUAACUAUAACAUACAUAUUUGAUGGAGUCCACUGUUAUGCUUGGGUUUAGAUAAAAGAGGAUAGAAAUUGGACUUUGGCCAUGUUUGACUUUGUUUGAUGGUUCUGAU